This 123-nucleotide ribosomal RNA is filed under the name Neogale vison (American mink). Lineage: Eukaryota; Metazoa; Chordata; Mammalia; Carnivora; Mustelidae. The record is from RNAcentral.
GUCUACGGCCAUACCACCCUGAACGAGCCCGAUCUCGUCUGAUCUCGGAAGCUAAGCAGGGUCGGGCCUGGUUAGUACUUGGAUGGGAGAAACCCUAGAUGGUAGGGCCUGUGAUUGAAGUCA